GUAGGGAAUAUUGCGCAAUGGACGAAAGUCUGACGCAGCAACGCCGCGUGGGUGAUGAAGCUUCUUGGAGUGUAAAACCCUGUCAGUGGGGAAGAACCGUGCGAGGAGUAACUGCCUCGCGCCUGACGGUACCCACAGAGGAAGUCCCGGCUAACUCCGUGCCAGCAGCCGCGGUAAUACGGGGGGGACAAGCGUUGUUCGGAUUUACUGGGCGUAAAGGGCGCGUAGGCGGACCUACAAGUCGGCUGUGAAAACUGGCGGCUCAACCACCAGCCUGCACUCGAUACUGUCGGUCUUGAGUACAUGAGAGGAAAGCGGAAUUCCAGGUGUAGCGGUGAAAUGCGUAGAUAUCUGGAAGAACACCAGUAGCGAAGGCGGCUUUCUGGCGUGAUACUGACGCUUAAGCGCGAAGGCUAGGGGAGCAAACAGGAUUAGAUACCCGUGUAGUCC
Molecule: ribosomal RNA, 450 nt
Filed under: uncultured bacterium
Lineage: Bacteria
Description: bacterial SSU rRNA
Rfam family: Bacterial small subunit ribosomal RNA
Source: RNAcentral